RNA transcript from Pipistrellus kuhlii (Kuhl's pipistrelle), 1575 nucleotides. It is a transcript of the gene named alcohol dehydrogenase class-3, with no coding region annotated. The transcript has 9 exons. The record is from RefSeq and is a predicted model, not a curated record. NCBI's taxonomy places the organism in Eukaryota, Metazoa, Chordata, Mammalia, Chiroptera, Vespertilionidae.
GCGCAAGCCCCACCCACGCCUCGCCACGCCCCACGCGUCCGGCACACGCCCCGCCCACAUCCCGACUGCUUGGCCCGCCCCGGAUGCCCACGCGCGCUGACCGGCUCCCGAGGGCAUGGCGAACCAGGUGAUCAAGUGCAAGGCAGCUGUUGCCUGGGAGGCCGGGAAGCCUCUCUCCAUUGAGGAGGUAGAGGUGGCACCGCCAAAGGCUCAUGAAGUUCGAAUUAAGAUUAUUGCCACUGCAGUGUGCCACACUGAUGCCUACACCCUGAGUGGGGCUGAUCCUGAAGGCAGUUUUCCAGUGAUCUUAGGGCACGAAGGUGCUGGAAUUGUGGAAAGUGUUGGCGUAGGAGUUACUAAGCUAAAAGCAGGUGAUACUGUCAUCCCACUUUACAUCCCUCAAUGUGGAGAAUGCAAAUUCUGUCUAAAUCCUAAAACAAACCUUUGCCAGAAGAUAAGAGUCACUCAAGGGAAAGGAUUAAUGCCAGAUGGCACUAGCAGAUUUACUUGCAAAGGAAAGAAAAUUUUACAUUACAUGGGAACCAGUACGUUCUCUGAAUACACAGUUGUGGCUGACAUCUCUGUUGCUAAAAUUGAUCCUUCAGCACCUUUGGAUAAAGUCUGCCUCCUGGGUUGUGGCAUUUCCACUGGCUACGGUGCUGCUGUGAACACUGCCAAGGUGGAGCCUGGCUCUACUUGUGCCAUCUUUGGCCUUGGAGGAGUUGGAUUGGCGGUUAUCAUGGGCUGCAAGGUAGCUGGUGCAUCCCGGAUCAUUGGUGUGGAUAUCAAUAAAAAUAAAUUUGCAAGGGCCAAGGAGUUUGGAGCCUGUGAAUGUAUCAGCCCCCAGGACUUCAGUAAACCCAUCCAGGAAGUGCUCGUUGAGAUGACUGAUGGGGGAGUAGACUAUUCCUUUGAGUGUAUUGGUAAUGUGAAAGUCAUGCGUUUUUGGGGAAGCAGAUAUUCUCGGCAGAAUGCACUGACUUCUGUGAUUUGGUUCAUCUCUGCCCGCAGAGAGCCGCGCUGGAGGCCUGCCACAAAGGCUGGGGCGUCAGCGUGGUGGUGGGAGUCGCUGGUGCCGGUGAAGAGAUCGCCACUCGGCCCUUCCAGCUCGUCACAGGACGCACGUGGAAGGGCACCGCCUUCGGAGGAUGGAAGAGUGUAGAAAGUGUCCCAAAGUUGGUGUCUGAAUAUAUGUCCAAAAAGAUAAAAGUUGAUGAAUUUGUGACCCACAAUCUGUCUUUUGGUGAAAUUAACAAAGCCUUUGAACUGCUGCAUGCGGGGGAGAGCAUCCGGACUGUUGUGAAGUUUUAAAUACAAAGAAAGUAUGUCCAUCCUUAGAACUGAGUCAUGUGAGCUGAUUGGAGCAGCCAGGCAGGCUGGGAGAAGCUCUUACAAGUCCACAGCCCCUUAGAUUUUGGGUAACCUACUCUAUGUAAUAAUGUUUUCUGUAUAAUUAAUAUCUCUAAUCAAGUGGAAGGCUAAUAGUGUCAUAAAUCUGUUUUCUGGAUGAUCCUUGUGAAUAAUUACUAGCUCAUUAAGGAAUUUUUUAACAAAAUAAAAGUAAUUUCUGUAUAA